UUUCCGUAGGUGAACCUGCGGAAGGGUCAUUAAUGAGUUGUCAUGGGGUUCGAUGCUGGCAGCCAAUUUUUGGAUGCAUGUGCUUGCCCUAACAAUCAUCUUCCAAACACCUGUGCACAUUUUUGAGGGAGUCUUGAGUUGGUUGCCGCUCUUGGGUGAUUUUCUCACAUUCCCUUAAAUCAUUAUACGCUAUUAACAAUGUUGAACGUGCUCUGUGCCGCAAGGCUAUUAAUAUAAUACAACUUUUAACAACGGAUCUCUUGGCUCUC
This 269-nucleotide unclassified non-coding RNA is filed under the name plant metagenome. RNAcentral describes it as "partial contains small subunit ribosomal RNA, internal transcribed spacer 1, and 5.8S ribosomal RNA". The record is from RNAcentral.